Non-coding RNA from Coffea arabica (coffee), 769 nucleotides. Lineage: Eukaryota; Viridiplantae; Streptophyta; Magnoliopsida; Gentianales; Rubiaceae. The record is from RefSeq and is a predicted model, not a curated record.
CAAAAGAAGAUUUGGAUGUUCUUCAAUUUUGGAAAGAAAAUAGAAAUCGAUAUCCAGUGAUUUCAUUGAUGGCACAAGACAUUUUGAGUAUUCCUAUUACUACAGUGGCUUCAGAGUCCGCUUUCAGCGUUGGCGGUCGGAUUAUCAACAAAUAUCGUAGUACCAUCUUGCCAGAGAAUGUAGAAGCUUUAAUAUGCACUAAAGAUUGGUUAUAUGGUGAAAAAUUUUCACAAGAAAAUGCCGAGGAAGAAGCUGCAUUAAUUACAGAUUUUGCUCCAUUAGUUACAAAACUUCUUGGCUCCAAUAGGGAGGUUUACGAAGAGGAAAUCUAGUCAUGUGACUUAUUGGAUUGCUCAAAGUUUUGCAGCUUCUUGAUGGGGCCCUUUGUUCGUGUCUUCUUUCACUCCUUAGGGACUAGUAUUCACUGCCCUUGCUGGACUAAAAGAGGAGCUGUGUUUUGGGAAGGUACCAUGCCAUUACCAGUGCUUACUACAGAGGAGCUGUUGGUGCUUUACUCGUGUAUGAUGUCACUAGACGUUCUACCUUUGAGAAUGUUGAGAGAUUGGAUGCUGUUCAAGCUAGAGCUUGCAUGGAAAUCUUCAAGGACAAUGGCUCUUGCUGCAUAAGUCCUGUACAUUACAUCGUUCAACCAGCAAUAUUGUUCAUUUGAUUGUCCUCUUUGUCUUGGAUCAUAUAAGAUGACAGUUACAUGGAAAUACUUUAGUAUUUUCAUGAAAUUCUUACUUGGUAGGAUCAGGAAUGGGUAUAG